Schistosoma margrebowiei is the source of this 45-nucleotide non-coding RNA. Lineage: Eukaryota; Metazoa; Platyhelminthes; Trematoda; Strigeidida; Schistosomatidae. The record is from Rfam.
AUCCAGUCGACGAAUCCCAAAUAGGAUGAAAGGUGCAUCUUGGAU